Molecule: long non-coding RNA, 4082 nt
Organism: Spinacia oleracea (spinach)
Lineage: Eukaryota; Viridiplantae; Streptophyta; Magnoliopsida; Caryophyllales; Amaranthaceae
Exons: 5
Source: RefSeq, a predicted model, not a curated record
ACUUGUCAAAGAAUGAAAAGAAUAGCUUGGGCUUUUGUCUUUGUGGGCCUCGAAGCCUCAACCAUGCUGCCAGCACUAUCCUACACCACCCUUCUCCUUAUCCUUCACCACAUCUGCCCAACAAGAUCAGCAACCAACAUCAACAACUGCAGCACCACAACACCUAAUGAAACCCAACACAACCAUCCCCCACACCUGCAGACACGCGACACCACCCACAACACCAAUACAACACAACAACGUCAAUUACGCAGCAACCCACUUAUCAUUCGCACACCAAUAACACAACAAUUCAGCCCAAAAUCACCCAAAAAAAGAAGCAAGAAACAGAGAGAAAAACAGAGCAUUGAGUUCGACCGAACCCGUACUAAGUUCGACCGAACCGAAAAUUUAGAGUUCCUGAUUGUAGGUGGUUCGGUCGAACCUCAAUGGAGUUCGCCCAAAUCGACAAAAGUUCGUCCGGACCUUCUACUAGUUCGCCCGAACCCAUUUUGCCCUCAAAUUGGUACGGAAUUAAUAAAAGCUCAUGGUUGUCACGUGGUUUUUGCCUUUGUGGUUCGUUGUUGGUGGCUUGGAUUACCGUCGUACACCGUCAAUUGAAAGGGCUGCGAUUUCAAGGUUUCGAUCAACGGCUGAUGAUCGAUGAUGGUAGAUGUUGGAUGGUGCUGAUGAUGACGAUUAAUGAUGGACGGUGAUGAUGAUAGUUUUUGAUGAUGAUUGACGGUCUUGAUGAUGGUUGAUGAUUAAGGAUGGUGAUCUUUGGUAGAGGAGCGAAGGAGUGAAGCUGCGAAGGGGACGAGACAGGGAACAUGAAGAGGGAUUUUCUUCCCUUUGGGGCUUUUGAAUUCAAGUGUGGCAAUUUUAUUCAAGAUUUCCACCAUUAAUCAAUGAGAAAUUUCUUACUCUCUCUCCUCAUUUAUUUAUUUAUUUAUUGUUUUCAUUUAUUUGUUUAAUUAGUUUAAUGGUUUUUGUUUUGUUUAAUGAUUCAUGUUUAAAUUAGUUGUUAUUAAUGUUUAGAAUCAUGUUUUUAGUUGUUAAUUUCGUUAAAUUUCAUAUUUUUAGGAUUAUGAAGUAGUUUAUUGAUUAGGGUUUGGUGAAAACUCAAAAUUGAUUGGUUUGGGUGUUUGUGAUUGAAAAUUAGGGAUUUUCAUGAUUAAAUUAUUGCAUGUUUAGGCAUUUCCAAUACAUGUUGCAUUUAACUUGAUCAAUUAAGUGUUCCAUGAUUGCUUGGAGUACUCUAGUUGGGUUGGAAAGGGAUUAAAGACCUAAGCUUGGCUAUGUUAUUGAAUUGGGAUUUUGAUUUACCCCGAGUGUGAUAGGGUAGAACGGGAGUCCAUCCUUGAUGCUUAGGGAAAUUGUUCGCGCAUCGGGAGAUGGUUGGAACUAUUUGUGAAUUCAACGCUUAUUCACGUAGUGCUUGUGAAUCUUCCCCGUUUUCAAUUGUCUUAUGUCCAUCCCGUGAUUUGUUGUUGUUUGACCCAUUCCCUAAUCUCGUUUACUUUUGAUUUCUUAGUUUAAUUUAAUUAGUUCUAUUCUAUUAGUGAUUUUUCAAAACCUCGUUUCGACCUAGCUUGUUGUCCGAUUAGCAUAAAUUAGCGCACCUUAGUCCUUGUGGAUUCCGACCCUUUCUUACCGCUUUACUUGUGUUUAGUGGUUAGUUUCGGUAAUUUGUUUGAUUAGGAGAAACUAGUAACGACCUAGUUUUCCCCUCGAUCAACGGCUGCACGAACGAAGGCGAGGCGAGGGUGCACGAGUGUGUGCGGCUGGGCGGAUAGCGAGCAAGGCACGAGUGGCGUGCUUGCUUGUGGUCGAAGAAAACGGGCAAGAGGAGAGAGAAAGAGCCGAAAAUAAGAGAGAGAGAGAGAGAGAGAGAGAGAGAGAAAAGAAUUCUGAAUUUUUGUGAGGGAUUUUUGAAAGGGUGGGUUGUAUUUAUAGUUUUUCCUUCCCUAAUGGGCUAGGUUUUAGGGUUUUGAGUUGGGCUUGCUAAGGGGUUUAAUUAAAAUUAGUUUCUUGCAAGCCUUGCUGGGUUUGCCGAUGGAAUUAGGUUGGGCUUGGAUUAGAAAUAAAAUAGUUUUCGAAAUACUACCCAGCAAUUCCCGAAUAAAUAAAAUUCGUUUAAUUUAUUUAAUAAAAUCCGGUUUUCAUAAAUAAUUAAUACUUCCUCCGUUCCGGAAAUAUCGCACCAUGGUUGACUUUUACUCCUCUAACCAUUACUUUGACUCUUAAUAUCUCAAAUCGUGUGCAAGUAAAAAUUAUAAAAAAUUAAUAUUUAGAAAAUAUAUAUCGAUACGAAUCUAACAUGACACCACAUGACUAAAAUUUCCUUACGUACGAAUCACAAAAAAUGGCCAAAGUCGUAGUGUGAAUAGUGUAAAAAACAAAUGGGCGAUAUUUCCGGAACGGAGGAAGUAAUUAAAUUAUUUAAAAAUAAAAUACAUUUAAAUCACAUUAAAUGCAAUUAAAUUCAUAAAAAUCUUUAUAAAUACAAUAAAAUAUAUUUAUAAAUUACGAAAAACACGAGGUAUUACAGUAUGUAUACUGAAUUAUGUUAAUUGACUAUGUGGCAGUUAAUUUGGAUUCCUGCCUUUUAUGGUUUUUCGACAUGAAUUAUAUUGUUCAUAACCCUACACUUACGUAGUCGCUUAAGAGGAGAUUUUUGAAAGAAAAAUGGGAAGCAUUAAAUUCAAAAAAUUGAGGUUAGCAAUGAAAGAAAGAGCGAAUAAAUCCUUCGAAAUUUUUUAGCUCGACCGACUGUUUCAAUCGCUCAGACAUCCAUCCCCUUCGCCCGCCCCAGUCAUUCACAUGAGCAUAGAAAUAUCUAUACUCGAGCGUUCAUCCAAGCCCCUGGCCUAGAAGGACCUUCGUGCCAUUUUAUUGGAUGACUUCAGUGGAGUCGCGUGGUCAAGCGUUGAGUCGGCUAGAAAACAUGCAUCUCCCAUUUCUUCAUAUUGCUGGCGGAACUCGCAUGAGUUUACCUUCGUACGUAUAGACUGUCCAUUUCAAUAAAGAUACACCAUUAAGAGAGGGAAUAGCCUUUACUUUUUAUUUCUCGUACUUUUCUAAUUAGCAACCUGCAGACCCGACCGGGCGAAGGACGCUACUAUUACAAAAACUGGAUUAAAGAACGCUUGAUAGAGAAUGGUUAAGUUAGAUAGGCGUUUUCUGCAAUUAUAAAUGAUGCCUCACUUAGGUAACCGUUAUCUAAAAUGCAUAAAACGAAACUCUUCCCUCCCACACCGUUUUCUAUUCCUAACCCAUAUUUUAAUCAAAUCUAUUUUUAUAAUCAUGAAACGCACAUAGAAUGCCUUACUAACCUAGGCGUAUUGCACCAAAUAUUUUGUGUGAUGUCAUUACCCUCCCCCUCCUUUUUCUCUCCUCUUUCUUCUAUUUACCCACAAAAAAAUAAUAUUAACAUCUUAAAACUCUAGAUUCUCCAGUAGCAUUGGAGGCCUUGGUGAUAGAUUAAGCUCAUGAAAUCUGGAAUUAAAGCAUGGUCUUUUAAGCUUUUGAAUUAAUGGCAUUGCAAAUGAUGUUUACGAGGAUAAAUUGAUCACCCACUGUAGCCUGAUGGCACCAACGGAUCUGAAGAUUGUAACAAGAAGUUAGGGAGCAUCUAUAUUAUUGAGGAUGAUAGAACUGACAAAUCUGAAGAUCUUCAAGAGAUUUAUCAAGAACGGAGAAUGAUUGCUAGAAGACCAACACUAUUUUUCCAAUUAUUAUUGUUCGUCAUCCUUGUUUCUACUGUGUUUGAUUGUAAUUCAGGACUAAUAUUGUUGUGGGAGUUUUUCCUUGGAUGAUGACGAGGAGGUAUCAGGUUCCACGUAGUGUCGAGUCCAGUCCACGUCGGCGGCGUACCUACAAAACAAGAAUAUUCCCGAAGGAAUAUUCCCUCCGAUGCUUAAGUAAGACACGGGUUUUUAGGAAGAUGUAAUUAAUAAACAUAAAGCAUUAAAGUAAGUAGUGGAAUGUUUCUCUAUCUGAAUUGUGUGUCAAUUCCUUGGGAAUUGAGUAUAUUUAUAGUCUCCCCCUUUUGGGGGGAAACCCUAGGGUAAUCUCAUAUGAUUGGCUAGUUUAUCAGAUAA